RNAcentral lists this ribosomal RNA (443 nucleotides) under uncultured bacterium. RNAcentral describes it as "bacterial SSU rRNA". It matches the Rfam family "Bacterial small subunit ribosomal RNA", at positions 29 to 521 of the family's 1533-position model. The record is from RNAcentral.
AACGAACGCUGGCGGCAUGCCUAACACAUGCAAGUCGAACGAGACCUUCGGGUCUAGUGGCGCACGGGUGCGUAACGCGUGGGAAUCUGCCCUUAGGUACGGAAUAACUCAGGGAAACUUGAGCUAAUACCGUAUAAUGACUCCGGUCCAAAGAUUUAUCGCCUAAGGAUGAGCCCGCGUCGGAUUAGCUAGUUGGUGAGGUAAAAGCUCACCAAGGCGACGAUCCGUAGCUGGCUGAGAGGAUGAUCAGCCACACUGGGACUGAGACACGGCCCAGACUCCUACGGGAGGCAGCAGUGGGGAAUAUUGGACAAUGGGCGAAAGCCUGAUCCAGCAAUGCCGCGUGAGUGAUGAAGGCCUUAGGGUUGUAAAGCUCUUUACCCGGGAUGAUAAUGACAGUACGGGNGAAUAAGCCCCGCUAACUUCGUGCCAGCCGCCGCGGU